Panthera uncia (snow leopard) is the source of this 1535-nucleotide long non-coding RNA. RefSeq lists it as uncharacterized. The transcript has 3 exons. The record is from RefSeq and is a predicted model, not a curated record. NCBI's taxonomy places the organism in Eukaryota, Metazoa, Chordata, Mammalia, Carnivora, Felidae.
CCCCUUUUUUUUUCACAGGGACUUCUGGAAAGGACUGAUGGAUGCCAGAUGCCAGGAGCACUGGCACCGAGGGAGGACUCUGAAGAGAGAGGAGGGAGCGCUGGGUCAGACGUCACAGGGCGUGGGGCAGGCGUGCUGGGCGACUACUCCCGAGCUGACCAACCACUCUGGGCCGCCUUACCGCCAGCCAGCGGAUCAAGGAGCUUGAAGAAGUGAUUUCCCUCUCUCUUCUCAGGCUCCCCACCCCCUUGGACCCUGCCCUCCUCUUAGCCAUUUCAUCCAUCAGUAUGGGGCACCUACUACGUGCUAGGCACUGUCCCAGGUGCUGAUGAGACAGCAGCAGACUGUCGUCCCUUAUUCUUGCCCCGUGGAGUCCGCUUUGCUUUCUCAGGAGAGAAUGAGUGGGCUGUAAGUGCCCCGGGGAGGAAGAAGCAAGUCUGGUCACCCCACUUCUCCUUGCCGGCUGCCUUCUGCUUCUCAGCUACUCUGCCAGGCUGCCUGUGGCUUCCAGAAAGUUCCUCUGCUCCAGAAAGCCCUCCAGGAUUGCUCAGGGGAGGCUGCCAGGCUCUGUCUGGGCAGUAGAUGGCCUUUUCUUCAUUUCUUCCCUUCCCAUGAGAGAGAUGCCAAAGAGAGAGAUUGUGAUCCCCCCCCCCCCCCCUUCCCCGGGGCAACCCAAGGACCAGAGUGGUUGUUAGCCUCCUUGGCUUUGGAAGAUCCGCUUGGCUCCCUGCUCCUCCCCUCAGCCCCAGGGGGGCCCAUAGUGAACACCUGCUUGGUUGCUGGUGCAGGUCUGCCGCGCCUUCGGUUCAUAUACUGGCAUUUGGGGAGAGGCUGCGUUGUUCCGGUCUUCCCUGAGCACUGGUCCACUCAAAAGAGCCCCCGCGAGGGACCAGCUUUGGCCUGCAAGGUACAGAAGUUCAAGUGCAGGAAGGAUUUCCUGGGCCGUGAAGGGGGACAGCUGAGCGGCUGGAAUUCGGGGAAUCAGUUCAUGUGCACCCUGCUGUGUGACAGGUCCAUGGCUGAGGGCCUGGCGAGGGAGAGUCAGGGUCUCAGAGAGGACGAAGGAACACAGUGACAGGCCGGCAAACAAAGGCUGUCCGCUCCAUGCAGCUGGCCUGGACGUUUGCACCGCACCGUGAACACAGCAUCUGGCCCAGAGGAGGCCUUCAGUGAAUUCCUGCCGAGAGAAGAGAAUCUUGGUUCCUGGCUCAGGUUCCCAUUUGCUUUUCCUGAACCUGUAGUUCCUUAUCUACAAGAUGGAGUAGUAACCCCAGCACUUCCUGUCUCGUCACAUUGUCACGGGGAACAAAUAGAACAACGAUGGCAAAAGCGUUCUGUGAACAUGAUACACAGGCCUCAGCCCAGCACCGUGCCGGGCCUGCGGUGGUGGUGGCUCGGUAUUGAAUAAAUGAGUAAAUGACUCGAUCUCCACCAGAUGUGAGCUCCACGUAGGCAGAGACCUGGCUUGUUUUUCCUUGGCAUUAUUUCCCCAGUGCGUGGCACACUGUAGGUGCCCAAUAAAUAUUUGGAUCGAA